Molecule: unclassified non-coding RNA, 253 nt
Filed under: uncultured Halomonadaceae bacterium
Lineage: Bacteria; Pseudomonadati; Pseudomonadota; Gammaproteobacteria; Oceanospirillales; Halomonadaceae
Description: contains 16S-23S intergenic spacer region
Rfam family: Bacterial small subunit ribosomal RNA
Source: RNAcentral
GACGGGGGAUCCUAGCGUUGUUCGGAAUUACUGGACGUAAAGCGCGCGUAGGUGGCUUGAUAAGCCGGUUGUGAAAGCCCCGGGCUCAACCUGGGAACGGCAUCCGGAACUGUCAAGCUAGAGUACAGGAGAGGAAGGUAGAAUUCCCGGUGUAGCGGUGAAAUGCGUAGAGAUCGGGAGGAAUACCAGUGGCGAAGGCGGCCUUCUGGACUGAUACUGACACUGAGGUGCGAAAGCGUGGGUAGCAAACAGG